CGUAACAAGGUCUCCGUUGGUGAACCAGCGGAGGGAUCAUUACCGAGUUUACAACUCCCAAACCCCUGUGAACAUACCUAUACGUUGCCUCGGCGGAUCAGCCCGCGCCCCGUAAAAAGGGACGGCCCGCCCGAGGACCCCUAAACUCUGUUUUUAGUGGAACUUCUGAGUAAAACAAACAAAUAAAUCAAAACUUUCAACAACGGAUCUCUUGGUUCUGGCAUCGAUGAAGAACGCAGCAAAAUGCGAUAAGUAAUGUGAAUUGCAGAAUUCAGUGAAUCAUCGAAUCUUUGAACGCACAUUGCGCCCGCCAGUAUUCUGGCGGGCAUGCCUGUUCGAGCGUCAUUUCAACCCUCAAGCUCAGCUUGGUGUUGGGACUCGCGGUAACCCGCGUUCCCCAAAUCGAUUGGCGGUCACGUCGAGCUUCCAUAGCGUAGUAAUCAUACACCUCGUUACUGGUAAUCGUCGCGGCCACGCCGUAAAACCCCAACUUCUGAAUGUUGACCUCGGAUCAGGUAG
Molecule: ribosomal RNA, 519 nt
Filed under: Fusarium sp. FG35
Lineage: Eukaryota; Fungi; Ascomycota; Sordariomycetes; Hypocreales; Nectriaceae
Description: eukaryotic LSU rRNA
Rfam family: 5.8S ribosomal RNA (bases 192-345)
Source: RNAcentral